Etheostoma cragini (Arkansas darter) is the source of this 151-nucleotide long non-coding RNA. RefSeq lists it as uncharacterized. Lineage: Eukaryota; Metazoa; Chordata; Actinopteri; Perciformes; Percidae. The transcript has 4 exons. The record is from RefSeq and is a predicted model, not a curated record.
UGUUAUGUAGACAUGCUCUUUAUUUAUGCAUUUUAUACUGUCCAACCAGUAGAACAGGUCCUGUUCUGUAGACAUGGUCCUUAGUUAUUUAUUCACGUUGGACCAGUCCAAUUUGACUGUCAGUUGAAAUAAACCUUUUGUUGUAAGAAAA